RNAcentral lists this ribosomal RNA (800 nucleotides) under uncultured Streptococcaceae bacterium. RNAcentral's name for it is "bacterial SSU rRNA". It matches the Rfam family "Bacterial small subunit ribosomal RNA", at positions 93 to 882 of the family's 1533-position model. The record is from RNAcentral. Lineage: Bacteria; Bacillati; Bacillota; Bacilli; Lactobacillales; Streptococcaceae.
GAGUUGCGAACGGGUGAGUAACGCGUAGGUAACCUACCUCAUAGCGGGGGAUAACUAUUGGAAACGAUAGCUAAUACCGCAUAAGAGAGACUAACGCAUGUUAGUAAUUUAAAAGGGGCAAUUGCUCCACUAUGAGAUGGACCUGCGUUGUAUUAGCUAGUUGGUGAGGUAAAGGCUCACCAAGGCGACGAUACAUAGCCGACCUGAGAGGGUGAUCGGCCACACUGGGACUGAGACACGGCCCAGACUCCUACGGGAGGCAGCAGUAGGGAAUCUUCGGCAAUGGGGGCAACCCUGACCGAGCAACGCCGCGUGAGUGAAGAAGGUUUUCGGAUCGUAAAGCUCUGUUGUUAGAGAAGAAUGAUGGUGGGAGUGGAAAAUCCACCAAGUGACGGUAACUAACCAGAAAGGGACGGCUAACUACGUGCCAGCAGCCGCGGUAAUAUGUAGGGGGCUAGCGUUAUCCGGAUUUACUGGGCGUAAAGGGUGCGUAGGUGGUCUUUCAAGUCGGUGGUUAAAGGCUACGGCUCAACCGUAGUUAGCCUCCGAAACUGGAAGACUUGAGUGCAGGAGAGGAAAGUGGAAUUCCCAGUGUAGCGGUGAAAUGCGUAGAUAUUGGGAGGAACACCAGUAGCGAAGGCGGCUUUCUGGACUGCAACUGACACUGAGGCACGAAAGCGUGGGUAGCAAACAGGAUUAGAUACCCUGGUAGUCCACGCUGUAAACGAUGAGUACUAGGUGUCGGGGGUUACCCCCCUCGGUGCCGCAGCUAACGCAUUAAGUACUCCGCCUGGGGAGUA